Transfer RNA from Cavia porcellus (domestic guinea pig), 74 nucleotides. It matches the Rfam family "tRNA". From Rfam's summary of the family: Transfer RNA (tRNA) molecules are approximately 80 nucleotides in length. NCBI's taxonomy places the organism in Eukaryota, Metazoa, Chordata, Mammalia, Rodentia, Caviidae. The record is from Rfam.
GGGGAUUUAGCUCAGCGGCAUAAGCACCUGCCUUGCAAGCAGGCGGUCUUGAGUUCGAUCCCUGAAAAAGACCA